AUGCGGCUCGUGACAACCGGACGCGACGGACAUGGAGAACGCGGGGAUUUUUCCGGUUUCUUCCCGCGGCCAACGAAACGGCAGCCGAGCUCCUGACCCGUCCGGGCC
This 108-nucleotide small RNA is filed under the name Sinorhizobium saheli. RNAcentral describes it as "Rhizobiales sRNA Atu_At1". It matches the Rfam family "Rhizobiales sRNA Atu_At1". Lineage: Bacteria; Pseudomonadati; Pseudomonadota; Alphaproteobacteria; Hyphomicrobiales; Rhizobiaceae. The record is from Rfam by way of RNAcentral.